This is a long non-coding RNA of Xenopus tropicalis (tropical clawed frog), 513 nucleotides long. RefSeq lists it as uncharacterized. The transcript is spliced from 5 exons. The record is from RefSeq and is a predicted model, not a curated record. NCBI's taxonomy places the organism in Eukaryota, Metazoa, Chordata, Amphibia, Anura, Pipidae.
GAGAAUUAAAUAUUGUAACUUUUUCCCAAAAGGAAAAUAAAACACCAUAAUCUCCUGUCGCACAGAGCGAAGGUGCAAGUUUGGGCACUUGUCUAUAUAUAAGGAUUGUGCAUUAAUACAUAUAGUAUAUUUGUAAUUGAAUGUUUUAUUGUUCUUUAGGAAUCUGGAAGCAUCUUAGAAAGUGCCACUCAGAAUGUUCCAAAGCAAGAGAGAUUCAUACUGGUGCAAGAAGCCAGGAAAUCUCAAACUGUGUCACUUGAUACCUGUAUUGCUACAGAAAGAACAGAACCUAGAGUUAAACAUGUCAAAUUCAUAUUUGUGAAAGAAGCCAAGAAAUCUGAAGAAAAAAAAGAGAGUUCUGACAGUGAAACUGAAAGUGAUGAUCUUGAAAAUUCCACAGAACCUAGAGUCAAACAGGUCAAAUUCACAUUUGUGGAAGACGCCGAGAAAUCUGAAGAAAAAGAAGAGAGUUCUGACAGUGAAACUGAAAGUGAUGAUCUUGAAAAUUCCACA